Long non-coding RNA from Homo sapiens (human), 1748 nucleotides. RefSeq lists it as uncharacterized. The record is from RefSeq and is a predicted model, not a curated record. Lineage: Eukaryota; Metazoa; Chordata; Mammalia; Primates; Hominidae. The transcript is spliced from 3 exons.
CACGAGGAGCCUGAAACUGGGAGAAGCCCCUGGACCUGCCUGUGUGAAUUGCAUUAGCAGUGGGACAGGACCCAGCUCUCCCAGGCUCUACUUACCAGCCGAGGCUACCACCACACAGAGUGUACUGCAGUUUCAGGCUUGGAGAGGAAGGGAGGAAGCCUAACCCUCGGGAGACCCCGUCAUGUUUUGAUGUCAUUGCAUGUCCCAUUUGGCCAGCCCGGAAAAAAUAAAAUGAGGAAGAAUGGCCCACAAACAACCUGGACAGAUAGAAGGCUGCUUUUAAAGAAGCUCACAGACACAGCUGAUUGAUUCUGCGACCUUGCUUUGUUACUCAUCUCUGAGUUUAGAGGCUUCACUGCCAGGGACCUUGUCCAGAGUUUCUGAGACCUCCAACAGCCUGUGGUCUCCUGGUCACUCAGACCCUACUGGUGGCUUCAGAUGCUGGAUCUUGCUGAUGUUUGAAUUAGCUCUCUGUGAAGGGCAUGCUGGUGAGGCCACAUACCAGGAAACCAUGACAAACAACAGAAUUACAGUCUGGUUAAAAAAGAAAAUAUACAUAUGCACAUAUGUAUAUUCCCCUACCCCAGGGGUUGAGACUUUUUUUGGCAUAAAUUUACAUAUAUUUUGGCACAAAUUUGCAUAGAGGUACACGAGAACCUCUCAUUUACAGCACUAAAAUUUGUAUUGUUCCCCUUAGACCCUUGUCACUGGCUGUUACUAAUGUACUGAGUUUCACCAGUUUGUCCUCCAUUUCCUAGAAUUUGUUCUAAUUUUUAGGAAAUGCUUACUAAAUAUCACCAUUGUGUGUGGUGAAAUCCAGCCCUAGAGGACAUCAAAAGGUCUCUUGUUAGCUGGUAGCUAUUGUUAGGUAUUAUCUGUAGAGACAUCGGGUUUCCUGGAAACAUCCCAUAGAGCUGUCCAAAAGUAUUAAUUAUUAAAUUGGGCCUUUAACUGUAUUUAUAGAAAUUAUAAUAUUACGUUUAUAUGUAUAGAAAAGAGAUUAUAUCUAAGCCUUAUAUCUGUAUAAAAAAAGGAUUUUACCAAAAGUACUGGAAGGUGCAUUAUAGUUACUCUCAAAUGUAAUAUUAGGGAUUUAUAUUUACAUAUAUUUGAGACAGGGUCUCACUCUGCCCAGGCUGGAGUGCAGUGGUGUGAUCUCUCGCCUCACUGCAGCCUCCACCUCCUGGGCUCAGGUGAUCCUCCCACCUCAGCCUCCCAAGUAGCUGGGAUUACAGGCACACUCCACCAUGCCUGGCUAAUUUUUUAUAUUUUUUGUAGAGACAGGGUUUUGCCAUGUUGCCCAGGCUGAUCUCAAACACGUCGGCUCAAGUGAUCCUUCCACCUAGGCCUCUCAAAGUGCUAGGAGUACAAGCAUGAGCCACCAUGCCCAGCCAAUAUUAGAUAUUAAUCAUUGUUCAAGAACAAUGUUAUCAAACCUACCUGUGAGCUGGGGCAAGUUGUGUCACUCCCCUGGAGCCUCAGUUUCUUCCUCUGGAAACUGAGGGAAACUACACCAAAUCUGAGUGUUUCCCUAAUCUCAGGCAGCUGACGUCCCCUUUAGAAUUUUUGCCAUCUUCUCAUGUCAUUUAUACUAUUUCUUCAUAUUUUUCUGGAAUUUAAUAACUUUUCAACUUAAACUGGCAUGAUCUACCUUAGCCUAGUCCCAAGCAAAAAUCUCUGUGAAACUACGUGUUCGCUGUACUCUUUUUUCUUGCAUAUUAAAAUAAAUGCAUGACUCUUAAAAUGUU